RNAcentral lists this transfer RNA (71 nucleotides) under Loigolactobacillus bifermentans DSM 20003. RNAcentral's name for it is "Lactobacillus bifermentans DSM 20003 tRNA". It matches the Rfam family "tRNA". Rfam says of the family: Transfer RNA (tRNA) molecules are approximately 80 nucleotides in length. Lineage: Bacteria; Bacillati; Bacillota; Bacilli; Lactobacillales; Lactobacillaceae. The record is from Rfam by way of RNAcentral.
AGGGAUAUAGUUCAAUGGUAGAAUCGCGGUCUCCAAAACCGUUGAUGUGGGUUCAAAUCCUACUAUCCCUG